UACCUGGCAAGGUGGUUUUGGAAGUUUCCAC
This 31-nucleotide non-coding RNA is filed under the name Homo sapiens (human). The record is from RNAcentral. Lineage: Eukaryota; Metazoa; Chordata; Mammalia; Primates; Hominidae.